AGAUAUUUAAUUUGUAGCAGAUUUUUUUCUCACGACAGACUUAUUUUAUGAUGACACCACAGACUUUCGUAAUUUUGACUGAUUUAUUAAAAUGUGUGGCAGAUUUAUUGUUUUAGUGGCGUCAGACUUAUAUUUUUCGAGAAAAAUCUGUCAAAGACACUUGCAAUGUGAGAUGGGAUAGAAUCAGAGGCUGAAUCCUUGUCUUGUGCCCCUGCAGUGUGACUCUGAAGUCCGGGAAUCAGAGUAGCAGGAUCGAAACUGGGCAGGGAAUCAUCAUCAGACAUCAAGUGUUCCUCUUGGUCAUUACCCUGAUUUCCUCCAUUGUUUCCUUCAUCAGGAUUGGCAGGAUCAAUGUCUUCAAAAGCCAAAGCACAUUCUUUUGCGUCAUGUUUGAGAGAACCACAUUUGGUACAGAAAUUCCUCAAUCUCUCAAAUCGGAAUUUGACGAUGGUGUUCUCAUCAGCAUUAAAUUGGACAUUCCUCUGGAACUGAUAGAAAUCAUGAGCAAAGAGAAUCUGUGAAUGCUUUUCUAUAUUUCUCUUG
This 543-nucleotide long non-coding RNA is filed under the name Arabidopsis lyrata. RNAcentral describes it as "long non-coding RNA (ALYR_LNC003113)". The record is from RNAcentral. Lineage: Eukaryota; Viridiplantae; Streptophyta; Magnoliopsida; Brassicales; Brassicaceae.